This 254-nucleotide ribosomal RNA is filed under the name uncultured bacterium. Its description in RNAcentral is "partial 16S ribosomal RNA". It matches the Rfam family "Bacterial small subunit ribosomal RNA", at positions 79 to 334 of the family's 1533-position model. The record is from RNAcentral.
CUUUCUUUGCUGGCGACCGGCGCACGGGUGAGUAACACGUAUCCAACCUGCCCUUUACUCGGGGAUAGCCUUUCGAAAGAAAGAUUAAUACCCGAUAGCAUAAUGAUUCCGCAUGGUUUCAUUAUUAAAGGAUUCCGGUAAAGGAUGGGGAUGCGUUCCAUUAGGUUGUUGGUGAGGUAACGGCUCACCAAGCCUUCGAUGGAUAGGGGUUCUGAGAGGGAGGUCCCCCACAUUGGAACUGAGACACGGUCCAA